AACGAACGCUGGCGGCGCGCCUAAUACAUGCAAGUCGAGCGAGAAGGUGUAGCAAUACACUUGUAAAGCGGCGAACGGGUGAGGAAUACAUGGGUAAUCUACCAUCGAGUGGGGAAUAACCAGCCGAAAGGUUGGCUAAUACCGCGUACGCCUCCGGAUCUUCGGGUUCGGAGGGAAAGCCACACUGUGAGUGCGGCGCUCUUUGAUGAGCUCAUGUCCUAUCAGCUUGUUGGUAGGGUAACGGCCUACCAAGGCUUUGACGGGUAGCUGGUCUGAGAGGACGAUCAGCCACACUGGCACUGCGACACGGGCCAGACUCCUACGGGAGGCAGCAGUAAGGAAUAUUGCGCAAUGGGCGAAAGCCUGACGCAGCGACGCCGCGUGGGGGAGUGAA
This 394-nucleotide ribosomal RNA is filed under the name uncultured bacterium. RNAcentral describes it as "bacterial SSU rRNA". It matches the Rfam family "Bacterial small subunit ribosomal RNA", at positions 29 to 413 of the family's 1533-position model. The record is from RNAcentral.